UUAAGCGACUAAGCGUACACGGUGGAUGCCCUGGCAGUCAGAGGCGAUGAAGGACGUGCUAAUCUGCGAAAAGCGUCGGUAAGGUGAUAUGAACCGUUAUAGCCGGCGAUGUCCGAAUGGGGAAACCCAGUGCAAUUCGUUGCACUAUCGUUAACUGAAUACAUAGGUUAACGAGGCGAACCGGGGGAACUGAAACAUCUAAGUACCCCGAGGAAAAGAAAUCAACCGAGAUUCCCCCAGUAGCGGCGAGCGAACGGGGAGCAGCCCAGAGUCUGAAUCAGCUUGUGUGUUAGUGGAACGGUCUGGAAAGUCCGACGGUACAGGGUGAUAGUCCCGUACACCAAAAUGCACAGGUUGUGAACUCGAAGAGUAGGGCGGGACACGUGGUAUCCUGUCUGAAUAUGGGGGGACCAUCCUCCAAGGCUAAAUACUCCUGACUGACCGAUAGUGAACCAGUACCGUGAGGGAAAGGCGAAAAGAACCCCGGCGAGGGGAGUGAAAAAGAACCUGAAACCGUGUACGUACAAGCAGUGGGAGCACCUUCGGGUGUGACUGCGUACCUUUUGUAUAAUGGGUCAGCGACUUAUAUUCUGUAGCAAGGUUAACCGUAUAGGGGAGCCGCAGGGAAACCGAGUCUUAACUGGGCGUUAAGUUGCAGGGUAUAGACCCGAAACCCGGUGAUCUAGCCAUGGGCAGGUUGAAGGUUGGGUAACACUAACUGGAGGACCGAACCGACUAAUGUUGAAAAAUUAGCGGAUGACUUGUGGCUGGGGGUGAAAGGCCAAUCAAACCGGGAGAUAGCUGGUUCUCCCCGAAAGCUAUUUAGGUAGCGCCUCGUGAACUCAUCUUCGGGGGUAGAGCACUGUUUCGGCUAGGGGGUCAUCCCGACUUACCAACCCGAUGCAAACUACGAAUACCGAAGAAUGUUAUCACGGGAGACACACGGCGGGUGCUAACGUCCGUCGUGAAGAGGGAAACAACCCAGACCGCCAGCUAAGGUCCCAAAGUCAUGGUUAAGUGGGAAACGAUGUGGGAAGGCACAGACAGCCAGGAUGUUGGCUUAGAAGCAGCCAUCAUUUAAAGAAAGCGUAAUAGCUCACUGGUCGAGUCGGCCUGCGCGGAAGAUGUAACGGGGCUAAACCAUGCACCGAAGCUGCGGCAGCGACACUAUGUGUUGUUGGGUAGGGGAGCGUUCUGUAAGCCUGCGAAGGUGUGCUGUGAGGCAUGCUGGAGGUAUCAGAAGUGCGAAUGCUGACAUAAGUAACGAUAAAGCGGGUGAAAAGCCCGCUCGCCGGAAGACCAAGGGUUCCUGUCCAACGUUAAUCGGGGCAGGGUGAGUCGACCCCUAAGGCGAGGCCGAAAGGCGUAGUCGAUGGGAAACAGGUUAAUAUUCCUGUACUUGGUGUUACUGCGAAGGGGGGACGGAGAAGGCUAUGUUAGCCGGGCGACGGUUGUCCCGGUUUAAGCAUGUAGGCUGGUUGUCCAGGCAAAUCCGGAUAAUCAAGGCUGAGGUGUGAUGACGAGGCACUACGGUGCUGAAGUAACAAAUGCCCUGCUUCCAGGAAAAGCCUCUAAGCAUCAGGUAACAUUAAAUCGUACCCCAAACCGACACAGGUGGUCAGGUAGAGAAUACCAAGGCGCUUGAGAGAACUCGGGUGAAGGAACUAGGCAAAAUGGUGCCGUAACUUCGGGAGAAGGCACGCUGGUGUGUAGGUGAAGUCCCUGCGGAUGGAGCUGAGACCAGUCGAAGAUACCAGCUGGCUGCAACUGUUUAUUAAAAACACAGCACUGUGCAAACACGAAAGUGGACGUAUACGGUGUGACGCCUGCCCGGUGCCGGAAGGUUAAUUGAUGGGGUUAUCCGUAAGGAGAAGCUCUUGAUCGAAGCCCCGGUAAACGGCGGCCGUAACUAUAACGGUCCUAAGGUAGCGAAAUUCCUUGUCGGGUAAGUUCCGACCUGCACGAAUGGCGUAAUGAUGGCCAGGCUGUCUCCACCCGAGACUCAGUGAAAUUGAACUCGCUGUGAAGAUGCAGUGUACCCGCGGCAAGACGGAAAGACCCCGUGAACCUUUACUAUAGCUUGACACUGAACAUUGAGCCUUGAUGUGUAGGAUAGGUGGGAGGCUUUGAAGCGUGGACGCCAGUCUGCGUGGAGCCAACCUUGAAAUACCACCCUUUAAUGUUUGAUGUUCUAACGUUGGCCCCUGACCGGGGUUGCGGACAGUGUCUGGUGGGUAGUUUGACUGGGGCGGUCUCCUCCCAAAGCGUAACGGAGGAGCACGAAGGUUAGCUAAUCCUGGUCGGACAUCAGGAGGUUAGUGCAAUGGCAUAAGCUAGCUUGACUGCGAGCGUGACGGCGCGAGCAGGUGCGAAAGCAGGUCAUAGUGAUCCGGUGGUUCUGAAUGGAAGGGCCAUCGCUCAACGGAUAAAAGGUACUCCGGGGAUAACAGGCUGAUACCGCCCAAGAGUUCAUAUCGACGGCGGUGUUUGGCACCUCGAUGUCGGCUCAUCACAUCCUGGGGCUGAAGUAGGUCCCAAGGGUAUGGCUGUUCGCCAUUUAAAGUGGUACGCGAGCUGGGUUUAGAACGUCGUGAGACAGUUCGGUCCCUAUCUGCCGUGGGCGCUGGAGAAUUGAGGGGGGCUGCUCCUAGUACGAGAGGACCGGAGUGGACGCAUCACUGGUGUUCGGGUUGUCAUGCCAAUGGCACUGCCCGGUAGCUAAAUGCGGAAGAGAUAAGUGCUGAAAGCAUCUAAGCACGAAACUUGCCCCGAGAUGAGUUCUCCCUGAGACUUUAAGUCUCCUGAAGGAACGUUGAAGACGACGACGUUGAUAGGCCGGGUGUGUAAGCGCAGCGAUGCGUUGAGCUAACCGGUACUAAUGAACCGUGAGGCUUAACCUU
Molecule: ribosomal RNA, 2900 nt
Filed under: Citrobacter koseri
Lineage: Bacteria; Pseudomonadati; Pseudomonadota; Gammaproteobacteria; Enterobacterales; Enterobacteriaceae
Also listed under: 1 other name
Description: bacterial LSU rRNA
Rfam family: Bacterial large subunit ribosomal RNA
Source: RNAcentral